RNAcentral lists this ribosomal RNA (573 nucleotides) under Ceramium virgatum. RNAcentral's name for it is "eukaryotic LSU rRNA". It matches the Rfam family "Eukaryotic large subunit ribosomal RNA", at positions 364 to 1006 of the family's 3401-position model. The record is from RNAcentral. Lineage: Eukaryota; Rhodophyta; Florideophyceae; Ceramiales; Ceramiaceae.
AUGAAAAGCACUUUGAAAAGAGAGUGAAAAGAACCUGAAACCAUUCUGUGGGAAGCGUAUUGCAUCACAAUGAGAGACGUUUGCAUGUUCAACCUUUCGGGGUGCAUUCAUGUAGAGGUCUAUCUGUCGUGGGCUUGUGGGCAGUCGAUUUUAUUUUGGGCUGCCUCAGGCUGAGGGCUCCGCGAAAGCGUUGAGGACGACAGAGGGACGAUGCGAUUCGACCCGUCUUGAAACACGGACCAAGGAGUCUAGCACAUCUGCGAGUCAAAGGGUGUUUAAACCCCAGGGCGCAGUGAAAGCAAAUUUGUUCCAUAAAACGAGCAGUUUGAGGCGGCAUACGAUCGUUGAUUGUAAGUCUGACCUAGAGCAAAUGUGCUGGGACCCGAAAGAUGGUGAACUAUGCCGGAGUAGGGCGAAGCCAGAGGAAACUCUGGUGGAGGCUCGUAGCGGUGCUGACGUGCAAAUCGCUCGUCCAACUCGGGUAUAGGGGCGAAAGACUAAUCGAACCAUCUAGUAGCUGGUUCCCUCCGAAGUUUCUCUCAGGAUAGCGGGCAGACUGACGUUGUUUUGUGC